Molecule: ribosomal RNA, 411 nt
Filed under: uncultured microorganism
Description: bacterial SSU rRNA
Rfam family: Archaeal small subunit ribosomal RNA
Source: RNAcentral
GCGCAGCAGGCGAGAACCUUCGCAAUGCGGGAAACCGCGACGAGGGACUCCCAGUGCCUACGCUCAGCGUAGGCUGUUCCCGAGCCUAGAAAGCUCGGGGAGUAAGGGCUGGGUAAGACGGGUGCCAGCCGCCGCGGUAAUACCCGCAGCCCGAGUGGUGGCCACUAUUAUUGGGCCUAAAGCGUCCGUAGCCGGCCCGGUAAAUGCCUGGGUAAAUCGUGAGGCCUAACCUCACGAAUUCCGGGUAGACUGCCGGGCUAGGGACCGGAGGAGGGAGAGGGUACUCCAGGGGUAGGGGUGAAAUCCUGUAAUCCCUGGAGGACCACCGGUGGCGAAGGCGCUCUCCUAGGACGGGUCCGACGGUGAGGGACGAAAGCCAGGGGAGCGAACCGGAUUAGAUAUCCCGGUAGU